This 394-nucleotide small RNA is filed under the name Oryza sativa Japonica Group (Japanese rice). RNAcentral's name for it is "sRNA Os03g0203750". Lineage: Eukaryota; Viridiplantae; Streptophyta; Magnoliopsida; Poales; Poaceae. The record is from RNAcentral.
AGGAGUUCUCUUCAUCAGUUCAUCGUUUGGAGGUUCAGUUGCCAAUGCCAGUGCUCCUAGUGUGUCCAUGAUCAUGUUAACCCAGAGCAGUUGGACAGCAGUAAGAGGAGCACUCCCUGAAUGCCAAGCAGAAGUACAAAGAACAGUCAAGAGUAAGUUAUGAAACAAACUAGGAAAUUCUUGAUUUUCCACAUUAAUAAAUUUUAUAAUGAGGUAAAAAACAUCAACAUUUAGCUGUACCUGUCAAGCAAGCUGAGGAGAAGUUCACUAUCAGAGCGACCACAUUGACUGUCAGCUGAAACUGCACAAACUUCUGAAUAUUAAUGUACACUGACCGACCCCAUUUAGCAACAGUGACUAUAGUGGAGAAGUUGUCGUCAAGAAUAAUCACGUC